GGAUAACCUGCCCUUGGGUCCGGCAUAACCCCGGGAAACUGGGGAUAAUACCGGAUAACGCACAUAUGCUGGAAUGCUUUAUGCGUAAAAUGGAUUCGUCUGCCCAAGGAUGGGUCUGCGGCCUAUCAGGUAGUAGUGGGUGUAAUGUACCUACUAGCCAACAACGGGUACGGGUUGUGAGAGCAAGAGCCCGGAGAUGGAUUCUGAGACAUGAAUCCAGGCCCUACGGGGCGCAGCAGGCGCGAAAACUUUACAAUGCGGGAAACCGUGAUAAGGGGACACCGAGUGCCAGCAUCAUAUGCUGGCUGUCCAGGUGUGUAAAAUACACCUGUCAGCAAGGGCCGGGCAAGACCGGUGCCAGCCGCCGCGGUAACACCGGCGGCCCGAGUGGUGAUCGUGAUUAUUGGGUCUAAAGGGUCCGUAGCCGGUUUGGUCAGUCCUCCGGGAAAUCUGACGGCUUAACCGUUAGGCUUUCGGGGGAUACUGCCAGGCUUGGAACCGGGAGAGGUAAGAGGUACUACAGGGGUAGGAGUGAAAUCUUGUAAUCCCUGUGGGACCACCUGUGGCGAAGGCGUCUUACCAGAACGGGUUCGACGGUGAGGGACGAAAGCUGGGGGCACGAACCGGAUUAGAUACCCGGGUAGUCCCAGCCGUAAACGAUGCUCGCUAGGUGUCAGGCAUGGCGCGACCGUGUCUGGUGCCCGCAGGGAANCCGUGAAGCGAGCCACCUGGGGAAGUACCGGCCGCAAGGCUGAAACUUAA
Molecule: ribosomal RNA, 762 nt
Filed under: uncultured archaeon
Lineage: Archaea
Description: bacterial SSU rRNA
Rfam family: Archaeal small subunit ribosomal RNA
Source: RNAcentral